Molecule: ribosomal RNA, 482 nt
Filed under: uncultured bacterium
Lineage: Bacteria
Description: partial 16S ribosomal RNA
Rfam family: Bacterial small subunit ribosomal RNA
Source: RNAcentral
ACGAACGCUGGCGGCGUGCUUAACACCUGCCAGUCGAACGCUGAAGCCCAGCUUUUGUUGGGUGGAUGAGUGGCGAACGGGUGAGUAACACGUGAGUAACCUGCCUCCUUCUUUGGGAUAACGCCCGGAAACGGGUGCUAAUACUGGAUAUUCACUGGUCUUCGCAUGGGGGUUGGUGGAAAGGGUCUUUCUGGUGGGGGAUGGGCUCGCGGCCUAUCAGCUUGUUGGUGGGGUGAUGGCCUACCAAGGCUUUGACGGGUAGCCGGCCUGAGAGGGUGACCGGUCACAUUGGGACUGAGAUACGGCCCAGAGUCCUACGGGAGGCAGCAGUGGGGAAUAGUGCACAAUGGGCGCAAGCCUGAUGCAGCGACGCCGCGGGAGGGAUGGAGGCCUUCGGGUUGUGAACCUCUUUCGCUCAUGGUCAAGCCGCAACAAUGGUUGUGGUGAGGGUAGUGGGUAAAGAAGCGCCGGCUAACUACGUG